CCCGCUGAACUUAAGCAUAUCAAUAAGCGGAGGAAAAGAAACUAACAAGGAUUCCCCUAGUAACUGCGAGUGAAGCGGGAAGAGCUCAAAUUUAAAAUCUGACAGUCUCUGAUUGUUCGAGUUGUAAUCUAGAGAAGCAUUAUCCGCACUGGACUGUGUACAAGUCUUCUGGAAUGGAGCAUCGUAGAGGGUGAGAAUCCCGUCUUUGACACAGACUACCAGAGCUUUGUGAUGUGCUCUCAAAGAGUCGAGUUGUUUGGGAAUGCAGCUCUAAAUGGGUGGUAAAUUCCAUCUAAAGCUAAAUAUUGGCGAGAGACCGAUAGCGAACAAGUACCGUGAGGGAAAGAUGAAAAGAACUUUGGAAAGAGAGUUAAACAGUACGUGAAAUUGUUGAAAGGGAAACGCUUGAAGUCAGUCGUGUUGGUCAGGAAUCAACCUUGCUUUUUUGCUUGGUGCACUUUCUGUUCCAACAGGUCAGCAUCAAUUUUGACCAGUGGAAAAAAGUUGAGUGAAUGUGGCAUCUUUAGAUGUGUUAUAGCACUUGAUUGCAUGCAUUGGUUGAGAUUGAGGUAUUCAGCACGCCGAAAGGCCGGAUCUUUACAUCACGCUCGUGCUUAGGAUGCUGGCAUAAUGGCUUUAAUCGACCCGUCUUGAAACACGG
This 661-nucleotide ribosomal RNA is filed under the name uncultured fungus. RNAcentral's name for it is "eukaryotic LSU rRNA". It matches the Rfam family "Eukaryotic large subunit ribosomal RNA", at positions 24 to 664 of the family's 3401-position model. The record is from RNAcentral. Lineage: Eukaryota; Fungi.